Molecule: long non-coding RNA, 140 nt
Filed under: Calidris pugnax (ruff)
Lineage: Eukaryota; Metazoa; Chordata; Aves; Charadriiformes; Scolopacidae
Description: lncRNA (ENSCPUG00000002014.1)
Source: RNAcentral
UGCAACUUCUAAAUCCUGCCCGCACUUCCUCUCGAGGGAACAACAGCUAAACCAAAGUCCUCCUGGAACCUGACAUGAAGAAGUCCUGCUACGCUGCUGCACGGCCAUCGUCAUGAAAAGCAACAAGAAUGGUAACAUGC